Molecule: unclassified non-coding RNA, 370 nt
Filed under: uncultured bacterium
Lineage: Bacteria
Description: contains 16S-23S intergenic spacer region
Source: RNAcentral
UCCUACUUACGUAGGCAGUCUGUUGUGAGAAAUACAACACAACACGUGGGUUGCGCUCGUUACCGGACUUAACCGUACAGCUCACGCCACGAGCUGACGACAACCAUGCAGCACCUGUCUAGCACCCUCGAAGGCGGCUUCUAUCUCUAGAAGCUUGCAGCUAGAUGUCAAGACUGGGUAAGGUUCUUCGCUUACCGUCGAAUUGAACCUCAUGUUCCACCGCUUGUGCGGGUCCCCGUCAAUUCCUUUGAGUUUUAAUCUUGCGACCGUACUCCCCAGGCGGCACACUUAAUGCGUUAGCUUGUUUGAACGGCACUGAGAGGGUCGAUACUCCCAAUGCCUAGUGUGCAUCGUUUACAGCGUGGACUAC